UACCGAUAAUGGCAAACUUAUCGAAAGGUAGGGACGCAAAGCCACGGGCCUAAAGCAUUAAUGCUAUGGUAGCCGAGCCACCGAA
RNAcentral lists this non-coding RNA (85 nucleotides) under Halalkalibacter hemicellulosilyticus. RNAcentral's name for it is "Bacillus hemicellulosilyticus c-di-GMP sequence". It matches the Rfam family "c-di-GMP-I riboswitch aptamer". From Rfam's summary of the family: GEMM was predicted in a large-scale screen for bacterial structured RNA regulatory elements. Genes associated with GEMM are involved in a diverse array of functions, including chemotaxis regulation, signal transduction, secretion and chitin. The record is from RNAcentral. RNAcentral also lists the same sequence under 1 other name. Lineage: Bacteria; Bacillati; Bacillota; Bacilli; Caryophanales; Bacillaceae.